Molecule: long non-coding RNA, 918 nt
Filed under: Daphnia pulicaria
Lineage: Eukaryota; Metazoa; Arthropoda; Branchiopoda; Diplostraca; Daphniidae
Description: uncharacterized LOC124312528, transcript variant X1
Source: RNAcentral
AAUUGAGACAAGAAAACAAAACAAAAACAAGUUUAUUAAAUAUCGAUGAAGGACGAGCGGCUAUAAUGUAUUUGGAUCAUUUCCGUCACACCCGAGUUUUCAAUUAGAGCAUAUUUAAAAGUUUUCCAACUUUUUGCUUGCAAAGAUGUGUUCUUACAUAAGCAUUUAAUAUUUUCAUUUCUGCCGGUUGGCGACAAAAUCAGUGAAAGAUUGCCAAGGUGCGCAGCAAACUAACGAGAUGGAAUCAGUUGCGAAAUCAUUGAUUGCGCAAUGAGCGCGACGAAAGACGGGCGAAGAGGAUGAAGGUAGUUCUUUUCAAGGAAGUAAAUUCAGACCAACGCCCUGAUUGCUAACGUAUAUAUAAGCCUGCAAUCCAUUGCAGAAUUGUGUGUUGCGCUAACCAAGUUUCCAUUCUUAACACAAACAAUAUGCGUUUCCUCGUCGUUUUCACUUUGCUUAUUGUCGCCUCGGCAUCGGCUGCACCCGCUUCCGCUGGUAGUCUGACUCAUUUACUGGGAAUAGAAUCCGCCUACAAACCUCUUCAAGUUGCAUACCGGCGGUACGACUUCACCAGCAAUCCUAGAUCGCCUCUCAAAUUCUUUCAUUCUGCGGAAUCCGCGGAAUCACGGGAACUGUACUUCGACUGACAAAAGCUGAUAACAAAAGAAGAGAAAAUGAAGUACGUCCUUUCCCUCCUUCACGGCCUUCGUCCCAAUCCGAUUUUCUAGGCUACUCCGGCACGCCCAGCAUAACCUUUUUCUCAUAAAAGUGAAUAAGGUUGAUAAGCAAAUCAGAACAGCCUCUUUGUUCCCAUCUCAGAUCCAUUUCCCGUUUCUGUGUUAAUGCAGAGCUGUCAAAUGAUGGAAAACAUUCAAGUCUUGUCUUGAAAUGCAAAUAAAAAUCCCAUUUGGCCAUUUA